Molecule: unclassified non-coding RNA, 1390 nt
Filed under: uncultured Neocallimastigales
Lineage: Eukaryota; Fungi; Neocallimastigomycota; Neocallimastigomycetes; Neocallimastigales
Description: partial contains small subunit ribosomal RNA, internal transcribed spacer 1, 5.8S ribosomal RNA, internal transcribed spacer 2, and large subunit ribosomal RNA
Rfam family: Eukaryotic large subunit ribosomal RNA (bases 611-1390)
Source: RNAcentral
UUUUCGUAGGUGAACCUGCGGAAGGAUCAUUAAAAAAUGUGGUACCGAUUGUUGGUACUAAAUUAAUCAUCCUACCCUUUGUGAAUUUGUUUGUAACGAAUUUUUUUAAAUGGGUCUUUCCCUAAGUUGGAUUGUAGUAAAAUACAAAAAAGACUUAGGGGAAUGACUUUUUUAAAAGACUUUUUUUUAAAUUAAAACUUUUUGUAUUCAUUUGUCUAAAAUUUAUUUUUAUAAUAUAAAAACAACUUUUGACAAUGGAUCUCUUGGUUCUCGCAACGAUGAAGAACGCAGCAAAAUGCGAUAAGUAGUGUGAAUUGCAGAAUACGUGAAUCAUCGAAUCUUCGAACGCAUAUUGCACUUUUUUAGUUUACUAAAAAAGUAUGUCUGUUUGAGUAUCAGUAAAAUAUUCUCACAAACAUAUUUGUUUGUGGUUAUGAGUGUUUUACAACGAUAAACAAGUUGUUUCACUUUAAAUUCUUUUUAAUUGAAUUUUACCAAUUCAUAAAUUAAAAUUGGAUAAAAUUUUCCUUUAACGAGGAAUAACCUAAACAAUUUUAAAUUAUAUGGAUUAAUAAACAUUCAUCAAAGGAAUCUAAUACAACAAAUAACUUGAUCUCAAAUCAGAUAAGAGUACCCGCUGAACUUAAGCAUAUCAAUAAGCGGAGGAAAAGAAACUAACAAGGAUUCCCUUAGUAACGGCGAGUGAAGCGGGAAGAGCUCAAAUUUGAAAUCUUCAAGGUUUGACCUUGACGAAUUGUAGUUUAUAGAAGUGUUUUCUGUUGGAGUUUUGGUAAAAGUUCUUUGGAAUAGGACAUCAUAGAGGGUGAGAAUCCCGUAUUUGACCAUGACUUUCCAGCUGUGUGAUACACUUUCAAAGAGUCGGAUUGUUUGGGAAUGCAGUCCAAAAUGGGUGGUAAAUUUCAUCUAAAGCUAAAUAUUGGCGAGAGACCGAUAGCGAACAAGUACCGUGAGGGAAAGAUGAAAAGAACUUUGAAAAGAGAGUUAAACAGUACGUGAAAUUGUCAAAAGGGAAGCGUUUGACACCAGUGUUGUUUUCUCGAAAAUCAAUUUAAUGAGUUCUUGUUUUUAAGUUAUUGUGACUUUAUCAGCGCAUUUCUUAUUUUACUUGACUCAUUGAAUGCACUUUUCGUUUAACAAGUCAACAUCAAUUUCUUUGGUGGUAAAAAGUUUAAAGAAAGGUGGCUUGGACUUCGGUUCAAGUGUUUAUAGCCUUUUUUCUAUGCCAUCGGAGAGAUUGAGGUCUGCAGCGUAGAUCCUUCGGGGUUAGAUACCUUUGUGCUAAGUUAUAGUUUUUUAUAGACAACUUGUUGACUAUAAUUAACCCUGUGAUUUACUCGCUUAGGCUAUUUUACCUACGCUUAGGAUGUUG